CCCUUAGAUGUUCUGGGCCGCACGCGCGCUACACUGAUGCAUUCAACGAGCACCCGCUGGGCCGAGAGGUCCGGCUAAUCUUUGAACGUGCAUCGUGCUGGGGAUAGAUGAUUGCAAUUAUUCAUCUUCAACGAGGAAUUCCUAGUAAACGCAAGUCAUCAGCUUGCAUUGAUUACGUCCCUGCCCUUUGUACACACCGCCCGUCGCACCUACCGAUUGAAUGGUCCGGUGAAGCCUCGGGAUUGUGGCUGGUUUCCUUUAUUGGAGGUCGGUCGCGAGAACUUGUCUAAACCUUAUCAUUUAGAGGAAGGUGAAGUCGUAACA
Molecule: ribosomal RNA, 324 nt
Filed under: uncultured eukaryote
Lineage: Eukaryota
Description: partial 18S ribosomal RNA
Rfam family: Eukaryotic small subunit ribosomal RNA
Source: RNAcentral